Molecule: ribosomal RNA, 427 nt
Filed under: uncultured bacterium
Lineage: Bacteria
Description: partial 16S ribosomal RNA
Rfam family: Bacterial small subunit ribosomal RNA
Source: RNAcentral
UGGGGAAUAUUGCACAAUGGGCGCAAGCCUGAUGCAGCCAUGCCGCGUGUAUGAAGAAGGCCUUCGGGUUGUAAAGUACUUUCAGCGGGGAGGAAGGUGUUGUGGUUAAUAACCACAGCAAUUGACGUUACCCGCAGAAGAAGCACCGGCUAACUCCGUGCCAGCAGCCGCGGUAAUACGGAGGGUGCAAGCGUUAAUCGGAAUUACUGGGCGUAAAGCGCACGCAGGCGGUCUGUCAAGUCGGAUGUGAAAUCCCCGGGCUCAACCUGGGAACUGCAUCCGAAACUGGCAGGCUAGAGUCUUGUAGAGGGGGGUAGAAUUCCAGGUGUAGCGGUGAAAUGCGUAGAGAUCUGGAGGAAUACCGGUGGCGAAGGCGGCCCCCUGGACAAAGACUGACGCUCAGGUGCGAAAGCGUGGGGAGCAAACA